RNAcentral lists this long non-coding RNA (353 nucleotides) under Aquilegia coerulea. RNAcentral's name for it is "long non-coding RNA (ACOE_LNC001277)". The record is from RNAcentral. Lineage: Eukaryota; Viridiplantae; Streptophyta; Magnoliopsida; Ranunculales; Ranunculaceae.
CUGUUAUACUUUUCUUCUAUAAUAGAUGAUUAUGAUGAUGCUGCAAAUUAGCUGUCUCUUUUUCGACAUCAUCUCCAAAUGGGUAUCUAUCAUUGGUGGACUUAUUACAAUACCAGGUACAUUAUGGAUAUACUUUUUCAUUGAUUAAAUUGUCAUUUGGGGUCUAACCUUGAUUAUGAGAAUUGAGCAACGCAUGAUUUUUUCAGAUAAAUGCAUCUACAAGAGAUGAUGGGCUAAACAUUUAUGAUCAUGGUCAUCAGCUUGAGCAUGUUCAACCUAUUAUUGGUUCUUCUCCGUCCACUUCCAUACGCAUCUAGGUCAUUUCAAGUUCAUGUCGUGCAGGUAUGUCCAGG